Molecule: long non-coding RNA, 1805 nt
Organism: Oncorhynchus tshawytscha (Chinook salmon)
Lineage: Eukaryota; Metazoa; Chordata; Actinopteri; Salmoniformes; Salmonidae
Source: Ensembl
GUCACUUACUCACCUUGUCCAAUGUGUGUGUGUGUGCGCCUCUCUGUGACAUAAACUAAACAUCUAGCUGGCUAGCUCAUCAUGUCUCAGUCUAAACUAUACACUCAAAAAUACAGAAAGGAGUGGGAAUCAAACCCUGAAUUCAAAGGCUGGUUGAAGCCGUUAAUUGGAGAUGAUACACGGGCAUACUGCCUGUAUUGUAAGGCUGAUUUCUACUCAAAAAAUUCUCAAAAGGCAAACAAAGCAUUAUAACAGUUCCUGUGGAUAGGGACUGACGAUGCCUCUUAUGACGGGGAUUAACAAUGGGGUCCAUAAAGUGCUGGAGGAGGAGUAUGGCCUCAAAUAUCUGGUUCUUAUUCGCUGUGUGUGCCACUCUCUGCAGCUUGCUGUAAGUCAUGCUUCCAAUGACACCAUCCCCCGUAGUGUGGAGUACUUGGUACAAGAGACUUAUAACUGGUUCAGUGUCUCCAAAGCACUGGGGGGCCUACAAGGCCAUAUAUGAGACCAACUGUGGGGAGAAACCUUUACAGAUAACCAAGGUGUGUGCCACACGUUGGCUCUCCAUCGAACCGGUGGUUCAUGCAUUUUGGACCAGUGGGAGGCUGCAUUUCGCAGUCACCAAGUCCAGUGAACACUGCCACAUGGCUGAGGUUUUAUACUCCAUGUACAGUGAUCUUCAAAACAUAUUGUAUCUGACUUUUUUGAAGUCAGUGCUGGGUGAGGUACAGUUGGCCAUCAAGGCUUUUGAGGGAGAGCAAGUAGAUCCUCUUAAGCUACUUGACAGCUUGGUUAGCCUGAUCAAGUCUGUGAGCAGCAGGGUGCUGAAUCCACUGGCAAAUGUUGAUGUACUCAAAGGGCCAAUAGAUGGAUACCUCAGUCCCAAACCGUACCUUGGUUACCUUUUUGAAUCAAAGGCAGCUGAGCUCCACCUUGCGCCUGAGGAGGAAAACAAUGUCCGAAAGAGGUGUGUAGCCUUCACCAUCUCCUUCACUAAUGAGUUGAGAGUGAGACUGCCGGGCAACUUCGAAGCAUUGCAGUACAUGUCAGUUUUCAAUGUGGAGGAAACUCUAAAGCACAAUAAGAGCCCUGGAGAAAUAGAAAAAAAUAGCCAAGCUCCUUGGCUACUCCCCUGCAGAGAUAGACAAGAUUGUCCAGCAAUGGCGUGCCAUCCAUCUUAGUAAAUGGAAUAAGACAAAAAACACACUGGGCUUCUGGAGUGAGAUUUGGAAGUUCAGGGAUGCAGCUGAUAUCAACCCAUUUCAUGAACUUUCCAUGGCUGCUGUGUUUGUGUUGUCCUUGCCACACUCAAAUGCUGAAGUCGAGAGUCUUCAGCCAGAUGAGUGUGGUAAAAAGCAAACUUAGAAAUCGGAUGUCCUUGCAUACCCUUAACUCCAUCCUGUACAUUCAAUAUGGACUGAAGAUGUCUGGUGAGGCUUGCUAUGAGCACCAGCUGCCUGAUAAUGUUUUGCAGCUUUUUGGCACAUCAGCUGCUUACUCAUUUAAGUCAGCUCCCUCAGUUGCUGAACCUGCCAUAGAGAGCCUUGACCAAAAUUACGAUGACCCACUCUUUCUGUGAGCCAGCACAGCCUGUGUGUGUGUGUGGAGGGGGGGUCUGGAGAAGAAAAAAACAAUUAACCUGAAUUAGGGCCAGACUAGUUACCAUGAUUUUCUCACAUUGCCAUUGACAUUUUUUUCUAUUGUCUCUUUUUGGUCCAUUUUGAUUGUAUACAAAACAAUGUAAAAAAUGUUAUGAUUAAAAAUGUUUUACUGUUUACUGUGACUUGUUGUAGGCGCCGAAGUGGUCA